Non-coding RNA from Paramuricea clavata, 333 nucleotides. The record is from the annotation of a GenBank genome assembly. Lineage: Eukaryota; Metazoa; Cnidaria; Anthozoa; Malacalcyonacea; Plexauridae.
CAGUCGUGGGUCGUGGGUAGAAUGUCGUGGGUAAAAAGGCGUGGGUCGUGGGUAAAAAGGCGUGGGUCGUGGGUAAAAAGGCCUGGGUCGUGAGUAAAAAGGCGUGGGUCGUGGGUAAAAAGGCGUGGGUCUUGGGUAAAAAGGCGUGGGUCGUGGGUAAAAAGGCGUGGGUCGUGGGUAAAAAGGCGUGGGCCGUGGGCAAAAAGUCGUGGGUCCCGAAUAAAAAGUCGUGGGUUCCAAGCAAAAUAUUUCCAUAUAUUUACCUUUCUCCCUUGGGAAGGCGUGUUUUUUUUCUUCUGAGGCUUUCCCAAACUAUGCCCAAAUAUGCAUAGC